AUUGAACGCUGGCGGCAGGCCUAACACAUGCAAGUCGAGCGGAUGAAGGGAGCUUGCUCCUGGAUUCAGCGGCGGACGGGUGAGUAAUGCCUAGGAAUCUGCCUGGUAGUGGGGGAUAAUGUCCGGAAACGGGCGCUAAUACCGCAUACGUCCUGAGGGAGAAAGUGGGGGAUCUUCGGACCUCACGCUAUCAGAUGAGCCUAGGUCGGAUUAGCUAGUUGGUGGGGUAAAGGCCUACCAAGGCGACGAUCCGUAACUGGUCUGAGAGGAUGAUCAGUCACACUGGAACUGAGACACGGUCCAGACUCAUACGGGAGGCAGCAGUGGGGAAUAUUGGACAAUGGGCGAAAGCCUGAUCCAGCCAUGCCGCGUGUGUGAAGAAGGUCUUCGGAUUGUAAAGCACUUUAAGUUGGGAGGAAGGGCAGUAAGUUAAUACCUUGCUGUUUUGACGUUACCAACAGAAUAAGCACCGGCUAACUUCGUG
Molecule: ribosomal RNA, 484 nt
Filed under: uncultured bacterium
Lineage: Bacteria
Description: partial 16S ribosomal RNA
Rfam family: Bacterial small subunit ribosomal RNA
Source: RNAcentral